This 71-nucleotide transfer RNA is filed under the name Bos taurus (domestic cattle). It matches the Rfam family "tRNA". From Rfam's summary of the family: Transfer RNA (tRNA) molecules are approximately 80 nucleotides in length. Their secondary structure includes four short double-helical elements and three loops (D, anti-codon, and T loops). Lineage: Eukaryota; Metazoa; Chordata; Mammalia; Artiodactyla; Bovidae. RNAcentral also lists the same sequence under 5 other names. The record is from Rfam by way of RNAcentral.
UCCCUGGUGGUCUAGUGGCUAAGACUGCACUUCCAAUGCAGGGGGCCUGGGUUUGAUCCCUGGUCAGGGAA